GGAGGGUUAGCCUAAUUGGUAAGGCGGCGGAUUUGAAAUCCGCUUCCGCUGGAAAGCGGAUUGGGGGUUCGAGUCCCUCACCCUCCG
This 87-nucleotide transfer RNA is filed under the name Caldifarciminota bacterium. Its description in RNAcentral is "tRNA-Ser". It matches the Rfam family "tRNA". Rfam says of the family: Transfer RNA (tRNA) molecules are approximately 80 nucleotides in length. Their secondary structure includes four short double-helical elements and three loops (D, anti-codon, and T loops). The record is from RNAcentral. RNAcentral also lists the same sequence under 1 other name. Lineage: Bacteria; Pseudomonadati; Caldifarciminota.